This 449-nucleotide long non-coding RNA is filed under the name Equus caballus (horse). RNAcentral's name for it is "lncRNA (ENSECAG00000049348.1)". The record is from RNAcentral. Lineage: Eukaryota; Metazoa; Chordata; Mammalia; Perissodactyla; Equidae.
GGGGAAGAGCGUCCUGAGUACCAGAGGAAUGGAACAUGGAAGUCUGCCCAAGGCAAGCGCUUUACCUGAAGGGGCAGGACUGGAGUUCGUAUUGUCUUUCCUAAUGAUGGUCCAAAAUUGCAUAAGCUUUGCAAUUUCCCAAGAAAACGGGACCCGCCUUUGACUGAGAGAGUUGGCCUCUCACAGACAUCAGUGCAAAGCUACUGAAAGAUGACCUUCAGGAAGAAGAAAGUUGAACUCAGAAGGAAGAGCUUCAGGAGGCUUGAAACUUCAAAAUGAAAGAGGAGAGUCUUAAAAGUGGGACAGUUUAGAGACCCAUUCAGAGGGAGAGGAGCGUUGAGAAACAGAGGCUCAGUCAACAGACGUUUCAGUGGAGUGGCUCACGUGUGAAGGUUCUUCUCCGGUCAGCGCGCCGGCCGUCCCCCUUCAUGGAACACGGCAACUGAGCA